ACUGGGUGUGGUGGCUCACGCCUGUAAUCCCAGUGGCUCAGGAGGCUGAGACAGGAGGAUUGUGAGUUCGAAGCCAGCUUCAGCAACUUAGUGAGGACCUGAGCAACUCAGAGAGACUCUGUCUCUA
This 127-nucleotide small RNA is filed under the name Marmota monax (woodchuck). Lineage: Eukaryota; Metazoa; Chordata; Mammalia; Rodentia; Sciuridae. The record is from RNAcentral.